GACUUUUAAACUGCCAAAUAUACAGUCCUUCCAGAAAAAUGUGAGUUUUUUGUGAUUGUUGCAAAAAUCCGUGAUUAUGCUGCACGCUUUCUUAAAAAAUGCAAUGGAAUUUGCGGGAUAUUUAUGCAAUUUUAUGAGCUGAAAUUGCGGGAACUUGCAAAAAUUGUGGUUUGAUGAAAAAGAAACUACAAAGCUAUCCCCCCCCCA
Molecule: long non-coding RNA, 207 nt
Organism: Etheostoma spectabile (orangethroat darter)
Lineage: Eukaryota; Metazoa; Chordata; Actinopteri; Perciformes; Percidae
Exons: 3
Source: RefSeq, a predicted model, not a curated record